GUUAAUACAUUCAGGCAUUUAAAAUCCCAUACAGGGGAACUUCAAGCCAUCAUUAAAAGUAUGCCUUUGAAAAAUAUUUAGUGACCUAGAAAAAUAUUUUUAAAGCUAAGUAACAAAAUCAGCGCGCUAAGCUAUGUGGACAGCGCGAGUCCCACUUUUUUUGCACCUCUCCUCUCCCCUCCCAUGUGUGGAUGGAACAUUUCUUUCUGCAGAGAAAAACAUGUUAUGCACGCAAAUGUUACCCUUGGUUUUGUCUGGGAGUUUUUAUUUGCUCGGACAGAAAAUUGGCUAUGCUGGGUUUAAUAGUAGGAAGCAUGAACAUUCUUUAACACUGUAAGCGGUAAAGCCUCAGUAAAGUGACCAAGAUUUCAUCAGGUGGCUUAAGAAUGAACUUUGCGAUCCUCUCUCAUCAAGAUUACACUGUACCGGCGGUUUCGGAGGUUCCAUUCACCGGUCUGGUACGCAGCGCACGCGGUUCCAGGGCCCAGACACCGCCGUGGCCCUACUGGAAGUUUAAUUAUAGGGCUGGGUAGCGGGCGUGGCUCUCAAACGGGGUGGCGGGAACUUCAUCUUUUUGACAUUCAACAGAAAUGCAGAGAAGCCGUGUGGUAUCCACCCGCAGGACAGAGAGCCCUGGAAUUUGGGGCCUGAUUUUCCCUUCCCUAGAUCCUCCACCUCCGUCUCCAAGGGCUCCCACAGGCCUCUCCGCCUCUGAGAAGCUCCCCCUUUCUUUACCUCUGUCGCUCCCCCUCCAUCUAUCCCCGGACCUUCCUGCCACACCUCCAAAGCCCAACGCCUCGGCCCCCCUUUCCCGUUUCUCCGCAGCCGCCGCCCUCCCGAGGGCCCUAGGAUCCCUGGGAGGAAACGUUCAGCCGGAGCAGAGUUUUGGGAACUGAGCCUUUAGAGAGCAUCGGGCAGUCAGGCGUGGGGGAGGGGCCGGGGUUGCGAGUGCGCCGCUCUUGGAAGGUCGUCGGUAACUCCUUCCCGGCGGCGCUGGAAGCUGGUGCUGACCUCUUAACAAAGAACAGCUUUAUUGAGAUUGAGUUGACACAUGGACACUGUGUGUGAGGUCUUCUUGAAGUUCUUCUAGGAAGAGGAGCUUGACUCUGCGCCCCCAACUUUUGAGCAUGGUCAUCACCUCAUGGCUUGCUUUUGGGCUGAUGAAAUCAAGCAAACAGAAGAACAUUUCGAGGCCAACCCUGUUUGUGGCAAUCAUUUGGUUGGAAGGAAAGAGUCCCUCACCACUGUGUCUCUGCUGGCAGCGAAUGUCAAAGAAAAUCCUCCAUACUCUGCACUUAGAUCACAAUGAGGACUCCUGUGAACAACCUCCACAAACUUAGGACUUGCGGUGGAGUCACACUUUUCUCAUCCUCUAUUCUCAAAAUCUAUGAGUGAAAGAAUAAGCACAUUAACAACAACAACAACAAAAAGAAUAAGCACAUUGAUUAGUCAUUUGGAAAUUCACAAAUAGAGGCUUUACCAUGAAACUUCAAAUUCUGGAUUUAGUAUGCUGCAACAGUUUUCAUGCUUCUCCUCACAUUUUGGGGGAGUCUUUUUUUUUUCCCCCGUCAAUUACUUCUGACACCUUUCCCAGUACAGUGAUGGGACUGCAGUGGAAUGAAAUCAUCUCUCUUGUGUGGGAUUGCGGGAGUGCCAUUAAGAGAAUGUUUCACCACAGACGCUGUGUAGCAACAGCUGCAUGGAUGGAAAAUUCCAGAGUCUUUUUUGUUGCAAUGUUUUCCAUUUUUAUACAUGCAAGGAAAUGUGUGCUUAACUGAACUCAGCUGUUUGAAAAUUUACAGAAAGUAUGAGAUAAUAAAUGCCUUUGCCAUUUAAGCAAUUUUAAG
Molecule: RNA transcript, 1847 nt
Organism: Sus scrofa (pig)
Lineage: Eukaryota; Metazoa; Chordata; Mammalia; Artiodactyla; Suidae
Source: RefSeq, a predicted model, not a curated record